GGGAGAAGGAACAGGGUCAUGUUGAGGAAAGGACUAGUGGAUAUAUAAGGCUUGAGGUCCCAGCCUUCCUCACCAUUCGGCCGCUGCUUUGUCCACGCUUGCGAAGACUUUCCAGACUACAAGAUGGUGAGCAACAGGUUCCUCCUGAUGGCGGCGACGCUGGUGCUGAUGCAGCUGAGCGUCUCUCUGGCGGCGCCCUCGCCCUGGGAGAGGCCCGUGGUGCACGCCGUGGGCGUUGUGGAGCACCGUCGCCCCGUCCACACCGUGAGCGUUGUGGCCACCCCCGUGCGGAGCGUGGGCGUGGUGGCUAGCCCUGUCCGCUACGUGGGCGUGGGCGGCUUCGGUGACGACGACGGCUUCGACGACGACGACGACGACCACCGAUUCGUGGGCAUCCUUGGGUCACACGGCAAGGUCUGGUGAUUCGCCUGACGCGGGUCAGGUCGCCUCGACGACGGCGCUCGGCUGACACACUUCCUUAGCUGACAACAUGUGAACAACCAUCAUGGGCUGCAACUGCUCUUGUUAAAAUGCAUUAAACAAUAAGGCUGCAUCCGAA
Molecule: non-coding RNA, 559 nt
Organism: Penaeus vannamei (Pacific white shrimp)
Lineage: Eukaryota; Metazoa; Arthropoda; Malacostraca; Decapoda; Penaeidae
Source: RefSeq, a predicted model, not a curated record